Molecule: ribosomal RNA, 490 nt
Filed under: uncultured bacterium
Lineage: Bacteria
Description: partial 16S ribosomal RNA
Rfam family: Bacterial small subunit ribosomal RNA
Source: RNAcentral
AGUGAACGCUGGCGGUAGGCCUAACACAUGCAAGUCGAACGGCAGCACAGUAAGAGCUUGCUCUUACGGGUGGCGAGUGGCGGACGGGUGAGGAAUACAUCGGAAUCUACUUUUUCGUGGGGGAUAACGUAGGGAAACUUACGCUAAUACCGCAUACGACCUACGGGUGAAAGCAGGGGAUCUUCGGACCUUGCGCGACUGAAUGAGCCGAUGUCGGAUUAGCUAGUUGGCGGGGUAAAGGCCCACCAAGGCGACGAUCCGUAGCUGGUCUGAGAGGAUGAUCAGCCACACUGGAACUGAGACACGGUCCAGACUCCUACGGGAGGCAGCAGUGGGGAAUAUUGGACAAUGGGCGCAAGCCUGAUCCAGCCAUACCGCGUGGGUGAAGAAGGCCUUCGGGUUGUAAAGCCCUUUUGUUGGGAAAGAAAAGCAGCAGGUUAAUACCCCGCUGUUCUGACGGUACCCAAAGAAUAAGCACCGGCUAACUUCG